UCUAGCUUUGCUUCAUAGGUUCUCCAAAAAGAUAACCGACACAAAUGGUUGAGCUUUUCUUGCGGUGAUGAGAUGCUAACAUGUAAGAAGAAUCCCUUUAUGGGAAUCUUUCAAUGAAAUGUUCUUGUUACGCUUGGCUUCUGAGCAAAGUUUCUCAAUUCUUUGCUUUAUAGAUUCUCCAAAAGAUUACUGACACAAAAAUGGUUGAGCUUUUCUUGCGGUGAUGAGCAGCUAACAUGUAAGAAGAAUCCCUUUAUGGGUAUCUUUCAAUGAAAUUUUCUUGUUACGCUUGGCUUCUGAGCU
Long non-coding RNA from Telopea speciosissima, 303 nucleotides. RefSeq lists it as uncharacterized. The record is from RefSeq and is a predicted model, not a curated record. The transcript is spliced from 2 exons. Lineage: Eukaryota; Viridiplantae; Streptophyta; Magnoliopsida; Proteales; Proteaceae.